Molecule: long non-coding RNA, 766 nt
Organism: Esox lucius (northern pike)
Lineage: Eukaryota; Metazoa; Chordata; Actinopteri; Esociformes; Esocidae
Exons: 4
Source: RefSeq, a predicted model, not a curated record
GCAGUCACAACCUAAUUAAAAUAACAUGAAGACUACAACUUUGAUCCUGCUUUGUGUCACAGUCUUCGGAGUUGGACUUGCUCAUUCUCCUGGAGGACUUUAUGAGAAAUGUCUGUGCAGGGGGAAACUAUUGCAGUCUAUAAGGAGAAAACAACAAAUUAAGGAGAUAAUGGUGUUCUCUAAGUCUGUCUUCUGUGGAAAGAAAGAAAUUAUUGCCAUAAUGAAGAAUGGUAAGAAGAAAUGUCUGGAUCCAGAGGGCAAGCAAAUGAAAAGUGUGGAGCUGCAACAGAAGAUGGCAAAAAAAGGAAAUGGAAGGAGAAACCAAUAGUGCUACACAGGGCCCUUUUCAUUAACAGGGAAUAAUUACACUGAGGAGCGGUUUUCUCCCUGGAAUAUUGCCUAGACAAACAGUACCAAUACAUUCCAUUGCAAGAGUUAAUAGUGUGCUGGUUGUGAAAUUCCUAUCAGGGUACCGGUUAAAACUGAAGGUCUUGAGCUAAUACCUAUGUGUAAUACCUAUAAUUUAAUAUCUAUGUAUUAAAUUAUAUAUUUUUACAAUCAUAUUUGUUUUAACUUGUGUAUGUAAACCUUUUUGUAUUUUGUAAUCAAAAUUUUAAAAAAAAGAAAUUAAAUUGAUACGUUUUGUUUUUUCAUGCAUGCUUGUGAGGUUCAAAGCCAUACAAUCACCUUAGUAUUAAACUGACUCAUGUUAACUGAAUGAUACUGUUAUUUUGGCCAUUAUACAAUAAACAUUACUUAGACUUUU